Molecule: long non-coding RNA, 285 nt
Filed under: Olea europaea (common olive)
Lineage: Eukaryota; Viridiplantae; Streptophyta; Magnoliopsida; Lamiales; Oleaceae
Description: long non-coding RNA (OEUR_LNC008851)
Source: RNAcentral
ACACCCGGCGUGAUUGAGGGUAAGAGACAUGCUGUUGACAAGACAGAGCAGGUGGUCGGCAAGAGGUUGAGAGUGUCGUCACAGUAUGUUGUUUCCCCUUUCACGGCUGAGGUCAAGAGGAGGACGUUCAUCGAUGGGACGUACUCGAACUUAUUCAGAGAGGUGGACAAUGCCAAGUGGAAAGCGUUCGAGACAGAGUGGAGGAGAAUUAUCCCCGGGUAAGUAUUGUAUGAUUUUAAUAAAGCACUGUACACUAACUCGUCUACGCUUAUUUUAACAUUUCCC